GACGAACGCUGGCGGCGUGCUUAACACAUGCAAGUCGAACGGAAAGGCCCUGCUUUUGUGGGGUGCUCGAGUGGCGAACGGGAGAGUAACACGUGAGUAACCUGCCCUUGACUUUGGGAUAACUUCAGGAAACUGGGGCUAAUACCGGAUAGGAGCUCCUGCUGCAUGGUGGGGGUUGGAAAGUUUCGGCGGUUGGGGAUGGACUCGCGGCUUAUCAGCUUGUUGGUGGGGUAGUGGCUUACCAAGGCUUUGACGGGUAGCCGGCCUGAGAGGGUGACCGGCCACAUUGGGACUGAGAUACGGCCCAGACUCCUACGGGGGGCAGCAGUGGGGAAUAUUGCACAAUGGGCGGAAGCCUGAUGCAGCAACGCCGCGUGCGGGAUGACGGCCUUCGGGUUGUAAACCGCUUUCGCCUGUGACGAAGCGUGAGUGACGGUAAUGGGUAAAGAAGCACCGGCUAACUACGUG
RNAcentral lists this ribosomal RNA (468 nucleotides) under uncultured bacterium. RNAcentral's name for it is "partial 16S ribosomal RNA". It matches the Rfam family "Bacterial small subunit ribosomal RNA", at positions 28 to 507 of the family's 1533-position model. The record is from RNAcentral.